UUAAGCGACUAAGCGUACACGGUGGAUGCCCUGGCAGUCAGAGGCGAUGAAGGACGUGCUAAUCUGCGAAAAGCGUCGGUAAGGUGAUAUGAACCGUUACAGCCGGCGAUGUCCGAAUGGGGAAACCCAGUGUGAUUCGUCACACUAUCGUUAACUGAAUACAUAGGUUAACGAGGCGAACCGGGGGAACUGAAACAUCUAAGUACCCCGAGGAAAAGAAAUCAACCGAGAUUCCCCCAGUAGCGGCGAGCGAACGGGGAGCAGCCCAGAGUCUGAAUCAGCUUGUGUGUUAGUGGAACGGUCUGGAAAGUCCGACGGUACAGGGUGAUAGUCCCGUACACCAAAAUGCACAGGCUGUGAACUCGAAGAGUAGGGCGGGACACGUGGUAUCCUGUCUGAAUAUGGGGGGACCAUCCUCCAAGGCUAAAUACUCCUGACUGACCGAUAGUGAACCAGUACCGUGAGGGAAAGGCGAAAAGAACCCCGGCGAGGGGAGUGAAAAAGAACCUGAAACCGUGUACGUACAAGCAGUGGGAGCACCUUCGGGUGUGACUGCGUACCUUUUGUAUAAUGGGUCAGCGACUUAUAUUCUGUAGCAAGGUUAACCGUAUAGGGGAGCCGCAGGGAAACCGAGUCUUAACUGGGCGUUAAGUUGCAGGGUAUAGACCCGAAACCCGGUGAUCUAGCCAUGGGCAGGUUGAAGGUUGGGUAACACUAACUGGAGGACCGAACCGACUAAUGUUGAAAAAUUAGCGGAUGACUUGUGGCUGGGGGUGAAAGGCCAAUCAAACCGGGAGAUAGCUGGUUCUCCCCGAAAGCUAUUUAGGUAGCGCCUCGUGAACUCAUCUUCGGGGGUAGAGCACUGUUUCGGCUAGGGGGUCAUCCCGACUUACCAACCCGAUGCAAACUACGAAUACCGAAGAAUGUUAUCACGGGAGACACACGGCGGGUGCUAACGUCCGUCGUGAAGAGGGAAACAACCCAGACCGCCAGCUAAGGUCCCAAAGUCACAGUUAAGUGGGAAACGAUGUGGGAAGGCACAGACAGCCAGGAUGUUGGCUUAGAAGCAGCCAUCAUUUAAAGAAAGCGUAAUAGCUCACUGGUCGAGUCGGCCUGCGCGGAAGAUGUAACGGGGCUAAACUGUGCACCGAAGCUGCGGCAGCGACACUAUGUGUUGUUGGGUAGGGGAGCGUUCUGUAAGCCUGCGAAGGUGGCCUGUGAGGGUUGCUGGAGGUAUCAGAAGUGCGAAUGCUGACAUAAGUAACGAUAAUGCGGGUGAAAAGCCCGCACGCCGGAAGACCAAGGGUUCCUGUCCAACGUUAAUCGGGGCAGGGUGAGUCGACCCCUAAGGCGAGGCCGAAAGGCGUAGUCGAUGGGAAACAGGUUAAUAUUCCUGUACUUGGUGUUACUGCGAAGGGGGGACGGAGAAGGCUAUGUUAGCCGGGCGACGGUUGUCCCGGUUUAAGCAUGUAGGCGGAGGUUCCAGGUAAAUCCGGUACCUUUUUAACGCUGAGGUGUGAUGACGAGGCACUACGGUGCUGAAGUAACAAAUGCCCUGCUUCCAGGAAAAGCCUCUAAGCAUCAGGUAACAUUAAAUCGUACCCCAAACCGACACAGGUGGUCAGGUAGAGAAUACCAAGGCGCUUGAGAGAACUCGGGUGAAGGAACUAGGCAAAAUGGUGCCGUAACUUCGGGAGAAGGCACGCUGAUAUGUAGGUGAAGCCCCUGCGGGUGGAGCUGAAAUCAGUCGAAGAUACCAGCUGGCUGCAACUGUUUAUUAAAAACACAGCACUGUGCAAACACGAAAGUGGACGUAUACGGUGUGACGCCUGCCCGGUGCCGGAAGGUUAAUUGAUGGGGUUAUCCGUAAGGAGAAGCUCUUGAUCGAAGCCCCGGUAAACGGCGGCCGUAACUAUAACGGUCCUAAGGUAGCGAAAUUCCUUGUCGGGUAAGUUCCGACCUGCACGAAUGGCGUAAUGAUGGCCAGGCUGUCUCCACCCGAGACUCAGUGAAAUUGAACUCGCUGUGAAGAUGCAGUGUACCCGCGGCAAGACGGAAAGACCCCGUGAACCUUUACUAUAGCUUGACACUGAACAUUGAGCCUUGAUGUGUAGGAUAGGUGGGAGGCUUUGAAGCGUGGACGCCAGUCUGCGUGGAGCCAACCUUGAAAUACCACCCUUUAAUGUUUGAUGUUCUAACGUUGGCCCCUGACCGGGGUUGCGGACAGUGUCUGGUGGGUAGUUUGACUGGGGCGGUCUCCUCCCAAAGAGUAACGGAGGAGCACGAAGGUUAGCUAAUCCUGGUCGGACAUCAGGAGGUUAGUGCAAUGGCAUAAGCUAGCUUGACUGCGAGCGUGACGGCGCGAGCAGGUGCGAAAGCAGGUCAUAGUGAUCCGGUGGUUCUGAAUGGAAGGGCCAUCGCUCAACGGAUAAAAGGUACUCCGGGGAUAACAGGCUGAUACCGCCCAAGAGUUCAUAUCGACGGCGGUGUUUGGCACCUCGAUGUCGGCUCAUCACAUCCUGGGGCUGAAGUAGGUCCCAAGGGUAUGGCUGUUCGCCAUUUAAAGUGGUACGCGAGCUGGGUUUAGAACGUCGUGAGACAGUUCGGUCCCUAUCUGCCGUGGGCGCUGGAGAAUUGAGGGGGGCUGCUCCUAGUACGAGAGGACCGGAGUGGACGCAUCACUGGUGUUCGGGUUGUCAUGCCAAUGGCAUUGCCCGGUAGCUAAAUGCGGAAGAGAUAAGUGCUGAAAGCAUCUAAGCACGAAACUUGCCCCGAGAUGAGUUCUCCCUGACUCCUUGAGAGUCCUGAAGGAACGUUAAAGACGAUGACGUUGAUAGGUCGGGUGUGUAAGCGUAGCGAUACGUUGAGCUAACCGAUACUAAUGAACCGUGAGGCUUAACCUU
RNAcentral lists this ribosomal RNA (2903 nucleotides) under Klebsiella aerogenes. Its description in RNAcentral is "23S ribosomal RNA". It matches the Rfam family "Bacterial large subunit ribosomal RNA". The record is from RNAcentral. Lineage: Bacteria; Pseudomonadati; Pseudomonadota; Gammaproteobacteria; Enterobacterales; Enterobacteriaceae.